AGAGUUUGAUCCUGGCUCAGGACGAACGCUGACGGUGUGCUUUAGGCAUGCAAGUCGAACGAGAAAGCCCUUCGGGGUGAGUAAAGUGGCGAACGGGUGAGUAACACGUGGGCAACCUGCCCCUCGCAGGGGGACAACCGGAGGAAACUCCGGCUAAUACCCCGUAAGCUCUACACGCCGCAUGGCGAGUAGAGGAAAGGUAGCUUCGGCCAUCCGGCGAGGGAUGGGCCCGCGAUGCAUUAGCUAGUUGGUGGGGUAACGGCCCACCAAGGCGACGAUGCGUAGCUGGUCUGAGAGGAUGAUCAGCCACACUGGGACUGAGACACGGCCCAGACUCCUACGGGAGGCAGCAGCCAGGAAUCUUGGGCAAUGGGCGAAAGCCUGACCCAGCAACACCGUGUGGGCGAUGAAGGCCUUCGGGUCGUAAAGCCCUGUUGAUAGGGACGAAGGGCGAAGGGUUAAUAGCCCCUAGCUUGACGGUACCUAUCGAGGAAGCCCCGGCUAACUACGUGCCAGCAGCCGCGGUAAUACGUAGGGGGCGAGCGUUGUCCGGAAUUAUUGGGCGUAAAGAGCGUGUAGGCGGUUCGGUAAGUCUGUCGUGAAAUCCUGGGGCUCAACCCCGGGCGUGCGAUGGAUACUGCCGGGCUAGAGGGUGGUAGAGGCGAGUGGAAUUCCCGGUGUAGCGGUGAAAUGCGUAGAGAUCAGGAAGAACACCCGUGGCGCAAGCGGCCACCUGGCAGAGCACUGACGCUGAGGCACGAAAGCGUGGGUAGCGAACCGGAUUAGAUACCCUAGUAGUCC
This 801-nucleotide ribosomal RNA is filed under the name uncultured bacterium. RNAcentral describes it as "bacterial SSU rRNA". It matches the Rfam family "Bacterial small subunit ribosomal RNA", at positions 8 to 796 of the family's 1533-position model. The record is from RNAcentral.